GUUAGGAAUAUUGGACAAUGGGCGCAAGCCUGAUCCAGCCAUGCCGCGUGAGUGAUGAAGGCCUUCGGGUUGUAAAGCUCUUUAGCCGAUGAUUAUAAUGACUGUAGUCGGAAAAUAAGCCCCGGCUAACUUCGUGCCAGCAGCCGCGGUAAUACGAAGGGGGCGAGCGUUAUUCGGAAUCACUGGGCGUAAAGCGUGCGUAGGCGGCUUUGCAAGUUGGGAGUGAAAGCCCAGGGCUCAACCCUGGAAUUGCUCUCAAAACUGCAAGGCUCGAAUUCGGGAGAGGAUAGCGGAAUUGUCAGUGUAGCAGUGAAAUGCGUAGAUAUUUACAGGAACACCAGUGGCGUAAGCGGCUAUCUGGACCGAUAUUGACGCUGAGUCACGAAAGCGUGGGGAUCAAACAGGAUUAGAUACCCUAGUAGUCC
RNAcentral lists this ribosomal RNA (425 nucleotides) under uncultured bacterium. Its description in RNAcentral is "bacterial SSU rRNA". It matches the Rfam family "Bacterial small subunit ribosomal RNA", at positions 354 to 796 of the family's 1533-position model. The record is from RNAcentral.